GGUCUCGUAGUGUAGCGGUUAACACGCCUGCCUGUCAUGCAGGAGAUCGCGGGUUCGAUUCCCGUCGAGACCGCCA
Molecule: transfer RNA, 76 nt
Filed under: Staphylococcus aureus
Lineage: Bacteria; Bacillati; Bacillota; Bacilli; Caryophanales; Staphylococcaceae
Also listed under: 1 other name
Description: tRNA-Asp
Rfam family: tRNA
About the family: Transfer RNA (tRNA) molecules are approximately 80 nucleotides in length. Their secondary structure includes four short double-helical elements and three loops (D, anti-codon, and T loops).
Source: RNAcentral